CCUACGGGUGGCAGCAGUGAGGAAUAUUGGUCAAUGGACGCAAGUCUGAACCAGCCAUGCCGCGUGCAGGAAGACGGCUCUAUGAGUUGUAAACUGCUUUUGUACGAGGGUAAACUCAGACACGCGUAUCUGUCUGAAUGUACCGUACGAAUAAGGAUCGGCUAACUCCGUGCCAGCAGCCGCGGUAAUACGGAGGAUUCAAGCGUUAUCCGGAUUUAUUGGGUUUAAAGGGUGCGUAGGCGGUCGGAUAAGUUAGAGGUGAAAUCCCGAGGCUCAACUUCGGAAUUGCCUCUGAUACUGUUAGGCUAGAGAGUAGUUGCGGUAGGCGGAAUGUAUGGUGUAGCGGUGAAAUGCUUAGAGAUCAUACAGAACACCGAUUGCGAAGGCAGCUUACCAAGCUGCUUCUGACGUUGAGGCACGAAAGCGUGGGGAGCAAACAGGAUUAGAUACCCGUGUAGUC
RNAcentral lists this ribosomal RNA (460 nucleotides) under uncultured bacterium. RNAcentral describes it as "partial 16S ribosomal RNA". It matches the Rfam family "Bacterial small subunit ribosomal RNA", at positions 338 to 795 of the family's 1533-position model. The record is from RNAcentral.